RNAcentral lists this long non-coding RNA (819 nucleotides) under Mytilus galloprovincialis (Mediterranean mussel). Lineage: Eukaryota; Metazoa; Mollusca; Bivalvia; Mytilida; Mytilidae. The record is from RNAcentral.
CAUGACAGUUAGAUUCGGCAUAUCAAAGAAACCCAAUUAUUCAAUUUUGAUGAAAUCAAACAAAGUUUAAUUUUGGACCCUUUGGGCCCCUAUUAUGUUGGGACCAAAACUCCCAAAAUCAAUACCAACCUUCCUUUUAUGGUCAUAAACCUUGUGUUUAAAUUUCAUAGAUUUCUAUUUACUUAUACUAACGUUAUGGUGCGAAAACCAAGAAAAAUGCUUAUUUGGGUCCCUUUUUGGCCCCUAAUUCCUAAACUGUUGGGACCUAAACUCCCAAAAUCAAUACCAACCUUCCUUUUGUAGUCAUUAACAUUGUGUUUAAAUUUCAUUGAUUUCUAUUACUUAAACUAAAGUUAUUGUGCGAAAACCAAGAAUAAUGCUUAUUUGGGCCCUUUUUUGGCCCCUAAUUCCUAAACUGUUGAAACCAACACUCCCAAAAUCAAUCCCAACCGUUCUUUUGUGGUCAUAAACCUUGUGUCAAAAUUUCAUAGAUUUCUAUUCACUUAAACUAAAGUUAUAGUGCGAAAACCAAGAAAAUGCUUAUUUGGGCCCUUUUUGGCCCUUAAUUCCUAAAAUGUUGGGACCAAAACUCCCAAAAUCAAUACCAACCUUCCUUUUGUGGUCAUAAACCUUGUGUUAAAAUUUCAUAGAUUUCCAUUUACUUUUACUAAAGUUAGAGUGCGAAAACUAAAAGUAUUCGGACGCCGGACGACGACGCCGCCGACGACGACGCCGCCGACGACGACGCCGCCGACGCCAACGUGAUAGCAAUAUACGACGAAAAAUUUUUCAAAUUUUGCGGUCGUAUAAAAAUUAAAG